GCCAGGUAGAUGGGAUGUGGGUUGACAUGGUUGAAUGUUGGCAGUUAUGCAGUUUGGCUGGUGGUGUGGCUUCUCCUGUAAGAUUAAUUAUUGUUGAAAUAAAGUAGUAGACUGAGUUAUAAAGU
This is a long non-coding RNA of Etheostoma cragini (Arkansas darter), 125 nucleotides long. RefSeq lists it as uncharacterized. Lineage: Eukaryota; Metazoa; Chordata; Actinopteri; Perciformes; Percidae. The record is from RefSeq and is a predicted model, not a curated record. The transcript is spliced from 3 exons.